GUAGGGGGCAAGCGUUGUCCGGAUUCAUUGGGCGUAAAGAGCGUGUAKGCGGCCAGGUAGGUCGGUUGUGAAAACUGGAGGCUCAACCUUCAGAGGUCGACCGAAACCAUCUGGCUAGAGUCCGGGAGAGGAGAGUGGAAUUCCUGGUGUAGCGGUGAAAUGCGCAGAUAUCAGGAAGAACACCCGUGGCGAAAGCGGCUCUCUGGAACGGUACUGACGCUGAGACGCGAAAGCGUGAGGAGCGAACAGGAUUAGAUACCCUGGUAGUCCACGCCGUAAACGAUGGGCACUAGGUGUGGGAGGUGUCGACUCCUUCCGUGCCGAAGCUAACGCAUUAAGUGCCCCGCCUGGGGAGUACGGCCGCAAGGCUA
This 371-nucleotide ribosomal RNA is filed under the name uncultured bacterium. RNAcentral's name for it is "bacterial SSU rRNA". It matches the Rfam family "Bacterial small subunit ribosomal RNA", at positions 527 to 896 of the family's 1533-position model. The record is from RNAcentral.